This 461-nucleotide long non-coding RNA is filed under the name Manihot esculenta (cassava). Its description in RNAcentral is "long non-coding RNA (MESC_LNC001320)". The record is from RNAcentral. Lineage: Eukaryota; Viridiplantae; Streptophyta; Magnoliopsida; Malpighiales; Euphorbiaceae.
UCAUUUUUUCAUAGCCAUGAACUGACCAACCUAGCUUUUGGGUUCAUUUGUUUGUCAUACUGGUUAAGCUCACAGAGUCUUGUAAUGUGCAUAGUUACAUCUGAUGGGCAAUAAUUUGAUUAAUUUCAAUUUAAAAAUCUAAAGUUGUUAAGAUAUAAAACCAUAUAUAUCAGUAGUAGUUUUGAACUUAUUCUUAUAUUUACAGUAGACAAUUUAUCCCCAAGGAGUACCUCAACUUGGCAUGUUAAGAGAUUUCCCUUGGGCAGCCAGAUCAUUUCCAAUAUCUGUUAUUAUUAGACAGCAGAUUCAAAGAUUUAGAUAUCAGCAGAUUCAAAGAUUUAGAUAUCUGCAGAUUGAGGAACAGUCACAGAUGCAGACACCAGAUGAAGUCCAUGUUCACUAUAAUCACACAGAUUCUUGCAAGUUUUCCAGAUGGACAGCCAGGUACAGUUUCUUCUUUU